RNAcentral lists this ribosomal RNA (894 nucleotides) under uncultured bacterium. Its description in RNAcentral is "bacterial SSU rRNA". It matches the Rfam family "Bacterial small subunit ribosomal RNA", at positions 8 to 916 of the family's 1533-position model. The record is from RNAcentral.
AGAGUUUGAUCCUGGCUCAGGACGAACGCUGGCGGCGUGCUUAACACAUGCAAGUCGAGCGGAAAGGCCCUUUCGGGGUACUCGAGCGGCGAACGGGUGAGUAACACGUGAGCAACCUGCCCUAGGCUUUGGGAUAACCCUCGGAAACGGGGGCUAAUACCGGAUAUUCACUUGCGGACGCAUGUUUGUGGGUGGAAAGUUUUUCGGCUUGGGAUGGGCUCGCGGCCUAUCAGCUUGUUGGUGGGGUGAUGGCCUACCAAGGCGACGACGGGUAGCCGGCCUGAGAGGGCGACCGGCCACACUGGGACUGAGACACGGCCCAGACUCCUACGGGAGGCAGCAGUGGGGAAUAUUGCACAAUGGGCGGAAGCCUGAUGCAGCGACGCCGCGUGAGGGAUGACGGCCUUCGGGUUGUAAACCUCUUUCAGCAGGGACGAAGCGUGAGUGACGGUACCUGCAGAAGAAGCGCCGGCCAACUACGUGCCAGCAGCCGCGGUAAGACGUAGGGCGCGAGCGUUGUCCGGAUUUAUUGGGCGUAAAGAGCUCGUAGGCGGCUUGUCGCGUCGACUGUGAAAACCCGUGGCUCAACUGCGGGCCUGCAGUCGAUACGGGCAGGCUAGAGUUCGGUAGGGGAGACUGGAAUUCCUGGUGUAGCGGUGAAAUGCGCAGAUAUCAGGAGGAACACCGGUGGCGAAGACGGGUCUCUGGGCCGAUACUGACGCUGAGGAGCGAAAGCGUGGGGAGCGAACAGGAUUAGAUACCCUGGUAGUCCACGCUGUAAACGUUGGGCGCUAGGUGUGGGGGGCCUCUCCGGUUCUCUGUGCCGCAGCUAACGCAUUAAGCGCCCCGCCUGGGGAGUACGGCCGCAAGGCUAAAACUCAAAGGAAUUGACGG